AGAGGCAAUAGCAUACACUAAAUAAUAUGACAUAACAGGCAUAACUGAAACAUGAUGAGAUGAGACACAUGACUGGGCAGUUAACUUAAAUGGGUACACACUAUUUAGGAAGGACAGAAAAAACAGGAAAGGUGGUGGGGUAUGUGUGUAUGUCAACCAUGAGUUAUAGCCAAAUCUUAGGCAAGUGGAAUGUAAUGAGGAAGAUAUG
Molecule: non-coding RNA, 208 nt
Organism: Pelobates cultripes (western spadefoot toad)
Lineage: Eukaryota; Metazoa; Chordata; Amphibia; Anura; Pelobatidae
Source: the annotation of a GenBank genome assembly